This 403-nucleotide ribosomal RNA is filed under the name uncultured bacterium. RNAcentral describes it as "partial 16S ribosomal RNA". It matches the Rfam family "Bacterial small subunit ribosomal RNA", at positions 28 to 526 of the family's 1533-position model. The record is from RNAcentral.
GACGAACGCUGGCGGCGUGCCUAAUACAUGCAAGUCGAACGCAGUGGGGACGGGUGAGUAACACGUGGGUAACCUCCCAUCAGAGGGGAUAACCCUUGGAAACAGGUGCUAAACCGAUACUGAUGGAUGGACCCGCGGUGCAUUAGCUAGUUGGUGGGGUAACGGCUAACCAAGGCCACGAUGCAUAGCCGAACUGAGAGGGUGAUCGGCCACACUGGGACUGAGACACGGCCCAGACGCCUACGUGAGGCAGCAGUAGGGAAUCUUCGGCAAUGGACGAAAGUCUGACCGAGCCACGCCGCGUGAGUGAAGAAGGUUUUCGGAUCGUAAAACUCUGUUGUUAGAGAAGCGGUAUCUAACCAGAAAGCCACGGCUAACUACGUGCCAGCCGCCGCGGUAAUUC